GAUGAACGCUGGCGGCGUGCUUAACACAUGCAAGUCGAACGGAUUUUGGAGAGUGCUUGCACUCGCUAAAAUUAGUGGCGGACGGGUGAGUAACGCGUGGGUAACCUGCCUCACACAGGGGGAUAACAGCCGGAAACGGCUGCUAAUACCGCAUAAGCGCACGGUAUCGCAUGGUACAGUGUGAAAAACUCCGGUGGUGUGAGAUGGACCCGCGUCUGAUUAGCUGGUUGGUGGGGUAACGGCCCACCAAGGCGACGAUCAGUAGCCGGCCUGAGAGGGUGAACGGCCACAUUGGGACUGAGACACGGCCCAA
This 313-nucleotide ribosomal RNA is filed under the name uncultured bacterium. Its description in RNAcentral is "bacterial SSU rRNA". It matches the Rfam family "Bacterial small subunit ribosomal RNA", at positions 28 to 334 of the family's 1533-position model. The record is from RNAcentral.